CUGGCUCAGGAUGAACGCUAGCGGCAGGCUAACACAUGCAAGUCGAGGGGCAUCGGGAGUAGCAAUACUGCCGGCGACCGGCGCAAGGGUGCGUAACGCGUGAGCAACAUGCCCGUAUCAGGGGGAUAAUCCAUGGAAACGUGGUCUAAUACCCCAUAGUAAUUAUGUAAGGCAUCUUAUAUAAUUUAAAGCUUUGGUGGAUACGGAUUGGCUCGCGUGACAUUAGCUGGAUGGUAAGGUAACGGCUUACCAUGGCUACGAUGUCUAGGGGUUCUGAGAGGAAGGUCCCCCACACUGGAACUGAGACACGGUCCAGACUCCUACGGGAGGCAGCAGUGAGGAAUAUUGGACAAUGGAUGGAAAUCUGAUCCAGCCAUGCCGCGUGCAGGAAGAACCGGCCCUAUGGGUUGUAAACUGCUUUUGUAUGGGAGCAAUAAGGGCUACGUGUAGUCCGAUGAGAGUACCAUACGAAUAAGCACCGGCUAACUCCGUGCCAGCAGCUGC
Molecule: ribosomal RNA, 504 nt
Filed under: uncultured bacterium
Lineage: Bacteria
Description: bacterial SSU rRNA
Rfam family: Bacterial small subunit ribosomal RNA
Source: RNAcentral